GAUGAACGCUGGCGGCGUGCUUAACACAUGCAAGUCGAACGAAGCUGCUUAACUGAUCUUCUUCGGAAUUGAUGUUUUGUAGACUGAGUGGCGGACGGGUGAGUAACGCGUGGGUAACCUGCCCUGUACAGGGGGAUAACAGUUAGAAAUGACUGCUAAUACCGCAUAAGACCACAGCACCGCAUGGUGCAGGGGUAAAAACUCCGGUGGUACAGGAUGGACCCGCGUCUGAUUAGCUAGUUGGUGAGGUAACGGCUCACCAAGGCGACGAUCAGUAGCCGGCUUGAGGGAGUGAACGGCCACAUUGGGACUGAGACACGGCCCAAACUCCUACGGGAGGCAGCAGUGGGGAAUAUUGCACAAUGGGGGAAACCCUGAUGCAGCGACGCCGCGUGAGUGAAGAAGUAUCUCGGUAUGUAAAGCUCUAUCAGCAGGGAAGAAAAUGACGGUACCUGACUAAGAAGCCCCGGC
This 471-nucleotide ribosomal RNA is filed under the name uncultured bacterium. RNAcentral's name for it is "bacterial SSU rRNA". It matches the Rfam family "Bacterial small subunit ribosomal RNA", at positions 28 to 497 of the family's 1533-position model. The record is from RNAcentral.